Molecule: long non-coding RNA, 12070 nt
Filed under: Equus caballus (horse)
Lineage: Eukaryota; Metazoa; Chordata; Mammalia; Perissodactyla; Equidae
Description: lncRNA (ENSECAG00000046998.1)
Source: RNAcentral
CAGGAAGCCCUCCCCCGCAGACCUCCCACCCGCUCCAGAUGGAGUUAAUAAUUGCCCCCGCCCAGCAACCUUUGCUGCUCUCACUUGCUCCUCUUGCUGCAGUCAUUACACAGCUCACUUUGUUUACAGGAUCAUCUUUCCUCCAUGCUCUGGGCUCCUUGAGAGCAGGGCUCUGUUUUAUUCUCAGUGUCCCUGGGCGUCUUCAGCAUCUAGUACUUUCCUAGCACCUAGCUGAGGAGGGACUCAAUUGAGUGGGAGUGAAGAGACGCCACAGCCAACCCCAGAUCCCUGCUGGUCUUCACAGAGGCAGCGUAUUUUCCUGUGGGUUGUCAAGACUCUCCUCCAGCUCUAUGAGGUAGAUGUUCUUGUAUUACUAUUCGAUAGAUGAAAGAAGGGAGGCUGAGUGAUUAAAUGACCAAGGGUGCGUAGUUAGUAAGUGUAUACUUCUGGACUUGAAUUCCAUUUUUUCUUGCCAGCAAGUAUUGGGCUCUGUCUUGUAGAGUUUCAGACCUAAGCUUAGAAAAAGGAACAAGCCCUGAAGAAGAGUUUGAUGGGACCCACAAAACUCUCUGAUUACAUUUAUCUCACCUGCCAUUUGCCGUGAAUUCAGAAAUUCUCCUUUAGAAUUUCAUUGUUGGUUAAAGCAUGAUCUUCAGAGGAUCCCUUUUAAAUUUCACAUGUUUUCUGAUAGCAAUUACUUGAUGACAGAGCUUACAUGAUGUGGAUCAGUUACUUUUUCAAUAAUAGUAAUAAACACCUGAUUUGUGCUUUUCUAAGUGCUUUAUAUAUUUUAUUUUAACUAGUCCUCACAAUAACCUAACAAGACAGAUACUAUUGUGUCCUCAUUUUAUAGAUGAGGAAACUGAGGGAAAUGUAGAUUAAGUAACUUUACAAAGAUAACACAGAUAUUAAGUGGCAGAGCCAGUGUCCCAAUCCAAUAGCCACCUAAUAUCAUCAAAUAUUCAUUAAGUGUCUGCUCUAUGCCUCACACUGCCAUGUGCCGGGAGAUGGAGUGAUGCAGGAGGCAGAUGAUUUCUGUCUUCAGAGAGCUUUUAUUCUAGAAGUGGAUGACAGGCUGUAAACCUACAAAUAAAUAUUAUAUAUCAGACAAUGAUAAAAGCAGUGAAGAAAAUAGCUCGGGUAAUGUAAUACAGUCUGACCAGGUCAGGGAGGAGUGAGGCUGCUGUAGAUAAUAUGGCAAAGGAGGAGGUGACAGUUGAAGUGAGACUUGAAUGAGAAGGCACCGCCUGUCAACAGUUCUAAGGCUAGGGAACGGGGAAGAGCUUGUCCCUUGUGACUGGAGCUUGGGAAAGAGUUGAGCAAGGGACAGAGAGAGGGGCGAGGCCAUGCUUUGUCUGUAAUGGUAAGAGUCUGAGUUCAUUCUAAGUGCGGGAGGGGGAGUUUUGCACAUGGGAGUCAGGUGAUCUGUGUUUUAUGAGCGUCGCUCUGCUUUGUAAGGUGCUCUGCAGUUGGGAUGGUUGUAGGAGUCGGGAGACCAGGCACGAGGCCGUAGCACAGUGCUGGCCAGAGGUGGUGGUCACUGGAACUAGGGUGGUUCUAGAAUGGACAUAUGCAGAGAAGGGAGUAGGGUGGGAAAUACUUUGGAGGGUGAGCCUACAACUCUUAUUGAUGGAUUGGAUGUGGAAAAUGGAAAAGGAAGGAAACUAGGAGGACCCCUACAUUUUUUACUUUAGUCACUCUUUGAAUGUUUGUAUCAUUUUACUGAGGUGAGGAAGGAAGCUAUCUUGAGAAAUGAGAUGGAAUUCAAGAGUUUUUGUUUGAAAUAUGAUUUUGAGUUCCUUUUAAAUACCCAUCUAGAGCAUUAGGGAGGCAAUUGUAUAUGGAGCCAGGAGCUCAGGGGUUGUUUGUGUUAAAUGGAAGCUUCUAGACAGAGAGAUUUGAUCCAUCACAAUAGAACUUUUGUGAUUUCAGCCUUUCUGCUCCAGAGGAGAGUCCACUUUUUCAGAAGUAUGCCUUGCUGCUGAAAGUUUCUAUUUUUAUUGGAAUAAGUAGACUAUAAUUCCCACCACUGCCUCAGGGUGGCAGUAAUGUUAAUCAGGAAGAACACAGAGGAAACAAGGACGUGCAAUGGGAGAUAAGCAUUGCAGAUGUGUGCACACACGCCAUAAACAAAUUUACUCACAUCGUUCCUGGGAAAAUUAGGUAACAACACGACCUGUGUGUUAAAAGUCAACAAACCCUCCUAACAAUAAGACUGCUUAAGAUAUUGCUAUUAAAAUCCGAACUCUGAGCAAAUCCAGAGUGUGCCUGGUAAUAGGGUCAUAAGAAUGCACUCCGUUCCAUAGCACAGUGGUGUGGAACUGGAACAGAGGACGCUGCACAGAUUAGCAGGAUGUGACAAUACAAAGUGAAGAAGAAUUCAGACCAAAUUAGAACAGAAACCAUUCUCUCAGCCAUAUCUAACACAGGAUUUUCACCAACUUGUGGUGAUGAGGAACUAGAUAUUUGCGUCAGAACCCCCACUGUACAUCCUUUAUAAGUUUUUGAAUGCAUUUAUGCCUAAGUUAACUGGAUAGUAAAAUAAAUAUAUAUCUAAUUCUAGUUUCGGUUUAAUCUUAUUAUUUGUGUGUGUGUCUGAGGAAGAUUGUUGCUGAGCCAACAUCUGUGCCAAUCUUCCUCUAUUUUUCAUGUGGCAUGCCGCCUCAGCAUGGCUUGAUGAGCCAUGCUAGGGCCACACCUGGGAUCCGAAACUGCAAACUCCAGGCCACAGCAGUGGAGCACGUGAACUUAACCACUAGGCCACCGGGCCGGUCCCCGUUCAAUCUUUUUAGACCAAUCCAUUUUGAUUUUCUUAUUCACUAAGUCCAAGAUAAGGAGAACCUCUGAUUUUCCUAGCUCCCCGUUGGCUAUUAGGGGUGAGACUCUGGUGUCUCCAGGGUGGGCAGAGACAGUUAGCAGAAGCUCUCAUGUGAUGCUGUCUUAGCCAGCUCACUUUCCUCCCGGAUACGUUACAAAUUUCAACCAGCACCUUAAAACGUGAACACGGAUGUGCUGGCUGUAUUUCCUGUCUGGAAGCCAGCAGAGAAGAGUUCUAAGCAAGUGGGACCCAGCCUGGGUAGAUUUUGCACUGGGAAGAGGAGACAUGCGAAUAUAUGGAGCAAUCAGCACCUCUAAAGAAAAGCGAGCCCAGGUGGGCUGUCUUAGCUGCUGGGAGAGGAGAUGCACCUCUACCACUCAGUCAAUCCAGCCUCAGUUUGAUAUUCUGAGAACCCGACUGCUCCCCCUUUAGAGCUUGGCCAAGUCCCUAAAUGCUCAGAGUCAAGGAGAACAAUUCAUGCUUGUCAGAUAAUGUUUACGGCUCAUUCCUUGUACGCUGGCUAUUUCACUGACUAGGUGACUUGCUUGAACCCUGCCCCUUGAGAUGCUGAGGAUCAAUGGGCCAAGACAGAGGAUUUGGCAAAGUUGGCAUCCAGUGGCCUGGAUAUUUUUUUUACAUUUUCCAGGAUAUUAAGAACUGCUGGGACAAUGACUAAGCCAGAAACUCAUCUUCCAUACAGUUCUACUUGGUUUUUGUUAUUUUAUGCCACUAAUUGUGCUUUGCCUUUAUAGAGUGUUUACUUGCCUGCCUAUAUGCUCCUGAACAAACAUGAGAAAAUGUAUCAUAAAAUCUGUUCGACAAAGAAACAGAGCUUUUUCAGAACCCAUGUCAGGCCUUAUCAAACAUAUUCAUGAAAGCCUGUGGACAUCCAUAUGGGGCACGCUUGGAUAUCUACGAGACACACACCCUUAAAUUAUACAGACAAAGGGAUGCCAAGAGUUGACAGCAUGCAAAAGCCGAAGAACCUCAGAGGUGGAGUGGUCAGAGGAUUCUCAAGUGGUUUUUAAACCACAGAACAUUUUCUUCAGGCGAAAGUUGCUGCAGAAGCUCAAUCUACAGAGUAAAGCUUUCCCUUUCCGUGAGGGGUGGGGGCGAGGGCUCUGCGCUUCCCAGCCUCCCGGAGGCCCUUCCAAAGGGUGGGAGAGAUUCAGCAGGACGCUGCUGCAGACCCCGCUGCUGGCGUUACUGCCAAGGAGACUGGCCCAGAGGAGCCCCUGGGUCGUCAGCCCAAGGUCAAGGUCACGUGGCAAAUAAGUAAUCACAGCCAGAACUUGGUUCUCCUGACUCUGAGUCCACUGAAUCACACAAUGGGAAUAAGUUUUGUCCAAAAAGUUCUGUGGUGUCAGUGAAGAAGGGAUUGUGUGGUUGUCGAUACUGCUUUUGUUUAGAUCUUUCUCACUUUUAAAGAGGAGUUGAAUGGUUAGAAAGAACACCUGUUUUUAUAACUUAGCCUGUCCUGUCUGGGCUUUGGGAAAAGCCCAGCUUCCUUAGUGAACAUCACAAGUUCCUCCAGUCUGUUCCUGGGUCGUCUCUUCAACUCUGUUAACAACUCCACAGCCACCCACCUUACGCGCCAGCUUCUCAGCACCCUGUGCUGACCUCCCGCCUCUCCCAGGACCCACGUGUCUUGGCUGGCGCUGACCCGUCUACUCUGGAUGCCCUUCUCUCAUGUCUCUUGCUGCUGACAUCCUACCACCUCACAGUCCAGCCCCUCCCGAGGCUUCUCAGAUGCCCUUCUCAGCUGUCCCGCCCCUUCCGCUGUUUCUCCAGAUUAGCAUUUAUCAGAGAUUGCUUGUCUUUAGUGUGACUUAGCGUGCAUCUAUCUCCUUUCUUUUCAGCUGUGAACGGCUAAGAGAGCAGGAAACAUGUCCUAUUCACAUCAUCAGGCAAAAUGCCUGCCCCUACCCGAGGCCUCAAAAUUGAAAUUGGACCCAUGAGAGGAGGCUUUCUGGAGGAAAUGAUAUUCAACCUGAGAACUAGAGCUUCAGUGACUCCCACCAUCAGUCUACUGAUUCGAAGGUUAAUCUCAUCCAGAAACAUCCUCACAGACACACUCAGAAACAAUGUUUACAAUGGUCUGAAUGUUCAUGUCCCUUCAAAAUUCAUACAUUGAAUUCCUAACCCCCAAGGAGAUGGUAUUAGGAAGCGGGGCCUUCGGGAGGUGAUUAGGUCAUGAAGGCAGAGCCCUCAUGGAUGAGGUUAGCGCCCUUAUGAAGGAGACCCCGGAGAGCUGCCUUGCCUUUUCUGCCGUGGGAUGUCACAGUGAGAAGUAAAGGACGGCCAUCUAGGAAGCAGCUCUUCAACAGACACUGAAUCUGCUGGCACCUUGAUCUUCCAGCCUCCAGAACUGUGAGAAAGAAAUUUUCGUUGUUUAUAAGUCACUCAGUUUAUGGUAUUUCUUUUUUAUAGCAGCCCAAAUGGACUAAGACAACGUAUAACCAAAUAUCCAGACACCCCCUGACCCAGUCAAGUUGUUACAUAAAAUUAACCACCCAAACUAUUGUGGUUGUUUUUGUUGUGGUUAUAUUAUCUUCUUAUGUGGAGCUGAAAUUAAUGCAAGUAGAUCAAUCAAAUCAACAUUGAAAUAUAGACAAAUGUAAAUGGGUAAUAUGUAUAAUGUGUAUUUUACAUUUCUUAGGAGAACACACAUAUUAUUCAAAGAUUAAUCUGCUUGGCUGAAAAGAUAACUUCAACUACAUUUUAAGGACAUUUCUUCUUAUAGAUACACGUGUAGGUCAGGCACCAGACAACUUACGAAUAAUAAGUUGACUGACAAGACAGUAGACACAAAAUAGACCAACGUAUACAAAUAUUAGGACCUUCUUCGAUUACUGUAAUUUUAAUGCAUCAAUUGGACAGCAGGCUUUUGAAGCUGCUAAAUUAAGGCAGAGUUCUUGCAACACAAGACACCUUUGCGUGUGAGGAGCACUUGCAAAACUUCACGGACAGUUUACUAAAAAAGACUGAAGGAAAUUCCUACAAACUAUUGGCAAAACUGUAAGUGCUGAGUUCACCUCUCCUCAAGCUGCCACUGUGAAUAUGUCGCCCGCAGCUUUGUAACCUGGAGGACCCGGGCCUUGUGCCUGGGUCAGCCCCUGCCCACGUCCUCAGCUUUGUCUCCGCCUCCUCCCCUUUUCUCUCCUUCAUUGAUGCCGGGCUUCUCUUAGUUCCAUCAGUUGGCCAUGCUCAUCCUCACCUUCAGGCUUCUGCACACGCUACUCCUUUCUAUGGGGAAUGGUCUUUCCUCACUCCUGGUUAAGCCCUUCUCAUCCUUCUGUUCUAGCUGAGGUAUCAUUUCUUCAAGGAGGGAUUCCAGGAUCCCCCAGAUGAGUUCUGACCCCUCUGAGAUAUGCUUCAGAGCAGAUAUUUUCCCUUCUUAUAGCACUAUCUCCCACUUAACUAAUUUUCUUACUGUAUUUUUUAGUAACUCUAUAUACCAAGAUCAUGUAAACUCCUGAGGAGAAGGGCCCACGUUUACUUUAUAGUUCUCAGGUUUUAUCACAGUGCCUGACACAUGGUAGCACCUCACUAAAUACCACAUUUAAGUGAAUCUAAGAUGCAUUGAUUGUAAGACACAUUGGUAUUUUAUAUACACCAAGAAGAAAAAACUUCCAAUUAAAAUUUGACAUGAUGCUUCUUAUCAUUUAGCACUUUUAUUCUAUAUUUAUUAGAAGAUUUUGUUUAGUAUUAUUUAGACACAGAUUUUUAUCAUAUAUCACCCUUGUACAUAUAUGAAAAGGGAAAAGUGAAAGACAUUGGUUAUUACAUUGGCCAUCUCUUUCUUUUGAGCUUUGGCACUUUUUCCUUCAGGCUCUCACCCUCUCGCUAUAACAUCUGACUGAAUUUAUGCACAAUGACUUAGGAUCCUGAUUCUGUUAAAUAUUGAGGACACCAUAAGUUUUAUCUAGUUAAAUCCUUUUAUUUUAUAAAUGAGAAAAUUUGAUAUCCAUAGAGGUAAGAGGCCACACGCUCAUAGUCACAUGUGGAGAAAUAUAAAGCAGAGUAAACUGAGUAGAUACUCCAGGGAAAGGUCAUAGGCUAAGCACCUGUAGAGCCUAAACUCGUGCCUGUACAUCUGUAAUAUACAUUGUUUGAAAGCAUCUGUUGGGGGCUGGAUUGCGUCCCCUCAAAUUCAUAUGUUGAUGCCCCAACCCCCGUACCUUAAAAUGUAGCUAUAUUUGGACAUGCGGUCUUUAAAGAGGUGACCAUGGUUAAAAUGACGCUGUUAGGUGGACCCUAAUCCAAUCUGACGCGAGUCUUUAUAAGAGAGAUUAGGACACACAGAAAGAAACACAGGGGCGCCCCUGGAAUGUGAUCAUCUACGGGCCAAGGAGAAAGGCCUCAGAGGAAGUCAGCCCUGCCAGUGCUUUGAUCUGGGACUUGCAGGCUCCAGAACUGUGGGCAUAGAAAUUUGUGUUUUCCACUCUCUGUCCGUAGUAUUUCGUUAUGGCAGCCCUCAAACUAACACAACAUUGCAAUGAGGGAAGAGCAGAGGGGAUUCAGAAAGAUAAAUACAAAGGAGGGAGGAGGCGUGUACUGGAGAGUUCUUAAAAACUUGCAGUAAGAUUGGGCCAUUAGAUUGUGUUGUUCAGGGAGGCCCGAGAGAAAGCAAGUCCUCCCUCAAACCACAGCACUCUUCCUCCCAAGGCUCUCGAGGCAGCUGUGCACUAGACAAGAUUGCACACGUUGUUGUCCGCUUGGCUUGGGGUCAAAUUCCAGCAGAGAACUCUGGUUUGCUGGGUGGGGAGCAGGACGAGGGUUUCCUUGCCCUGAAUUCACACCCGUGUUAGCCCCCAGUUGGUCGUGCAAGAGGACUGUGCACAAAAGAGAGGAAAAUGCCACUCUUGGCAGGUUUUCUAUUUCUUCUUGAGUAAAUCUUAGCUAUAUAUAUUUCCCUAAAAAGUCAUCCAUUUCAUCAAGAUUUUAAAAUUUGCUACUGUCUAAUUGUACUUUUCUCAUUAAAAAAAUGCAUCUUCUGUAUUUAUUAUAGGCCUUUUCCCAUUCCUUGUUUUGUCUUCCCCCUCUUUUUCUUCCCUACUCUUUACUGCUCUAAAGAGGACUUAACCUCCUCUACUGUAUUUGGUUCCCUCGGAAUCUUCAAACCUCUGGCCCUCACACACCAUUGCCUCGUAACCUGAGCUCUUCCCAGGAGUUUCUCCUCGGCAUAGCGGUCAGAGGUCAUGCUUUUUUCCCAGGCGUAUCCCCUGAUUCUCAUGGCCGGUCAGUUUCAGACCUAUGCUCUUUUUCUCAGUCUUCAUUAUCAUGCUCCUGUCUCCUGUCUUGCACAGGCUGCAUUUCACUAGCUUGUUGUUUACUCUUCUUGGAAGGAACUAGACCAAUGCCUGGUGUUUAUAAACAAAUAUAGUGUAUGUGCCGCCUUCAGUCUCACCCACCAGCCACCUGAGCGUUUGUUCUGUUUGUUCAACCUCCUCACAUGUGUGACAAGAGAGCAAAUGGUUGCACACAGUUUCCAUUUCCGUUUCUGGAGUCUGACAGCCUUUUCCCUGACGGCAGCCCUAUUGAGGCCAUCAUGCGCCACCCUUUCUCAAGCUCCUCCACGCCAACUUCCUUUUGUCACAGUUUGAGUUAGUGCACUAAUUGAAGAAGGAUGGUACUCAGAAGGCUCUGCCCUCAGGCUCUUCCUACGCAUGUGCGUAAGGCCCACUCCUCUCUUCUGGACAGUUGUUUCCUGACUGGUGCAGGCUCUGUAUGGAUAAAAAAAGGGGCAUGAUGUCCCGAGCGAGGGAGAAGCGUGAGAGUGCCAUCUCGCUUGCCUCAAAAAGUAGAUUCUAUGCAGCAGCAGGACUCAUGCUCAAUGUUUCAGUUGGUUCCUCUCCUCUUUCUGAGAAGGACAAGCAGUGAAGAAAGAAAAAGGUAUUUUCCUUUCCAUUAUCUUCCUUUCGCAGAACAACAGAUUUGCUCUCUUUUCAGAAGCAAAGUAUGUGUGGGACAAAAUCUGUGGUUCUCAUUUCAUCAUUUUAAUUCUAGUUUUAGGCAAUUGUGUGAGUUUUCAUCUUUUUCUCUGACUUCUAAGUGGCAGUUUGUCUUGCCAUUUUACUUCUGACAUAUCACAGAAUAUCUUGGAGUAUCUGGAAUAUCCUAGCUGCUCAAUACACAGUUCAUUUAACAAAUGGAUGCGUCACCACUGUUUUAUCACUGAGUUAUUAGGACAAUCAGCUAGAAGAAAUUUUAAACUAGGCUUCCCUAUUAAGGUGGGUUUUGUUAAAUUUUGGUGCCAAUUUUAUUUUCUUCCUACCUAGUAAUAUGCCUAUGACUAUAACAAAGGCUAAUGACUUCAUUUGGAAACUUAAAAUGUGAGAAAUUGUAUUAAGAUCAAUCAUUCAUUCCACAAACAUGUAUUCAGUGCCUAUUUAGGCUGGCACUGUGCCGUGGUAGAAUUCUUUCCAGACCCAUGGGGGAUAGGAGUCUGGGGUGGCUAUAUAAAUACAAAAAGCACAGGUUAAAUAUAUAAAUAUAUUUUUAUGUUAAAAAUAAUUACAAUGUAUUAUGAGAUAUGAUAGAGGUAUGUAAAAUGUGCCAUGAGAUACAGAAGGGGUGACAUUUGAGUUAUGUUAUGGGUCUUUAGAGAAAACCAUGAAGGCAAAGAGUUAUGAAGAAUGGUGCUCUAAGAGGAAGAGCAUUUCUGGGGAAGGUGGUAAUACUCAGAGUCUGGAAAAGUCAGGGAAUUGCAUGUAGUUAAUUGUGAUUGAAAAGAGAGAAUGGAUGGUAACUAGAAAGAUUUGAAAAUGCAGUUACUUAUGGAUCACUGAGGAUAACUUUUACCUAGAAGGCAUGGAUGGUACUGGAUUCAGAAGAGUAACCAUAAGCCAGAGUGAUAAUGAUGAGAAGAUAUGUGAGUGUGGGGCUGUGAGAAGUAUAUGUUGAUAAGGGUUAUAUCACUGGAUAAAGCUUCCUUUGAGGAAAUGGAUUUAAAAUAGCAUUGUAUGGGUUAGCAGAAAGUGCUGAGUGAAUUAUUGUGUACUUAUAGAAAGAGAUGUGUGAUCACUAGCUCACUUGAGCUGGGGUUUGAGCUGUGUUGCUGCUUCAAUCAGCCAGGAUUCCUUUGGUACCCCUUGGAAUCCUGGCUUAAAACACUGGCUCAAAUCCAAGAAGGGAAAAGUACAGAUAAAAUAUGAGCUAAGAAUGCUCGGAGAACAGAACAAAAUGGACAACCAGUGAAAUUUUUGGGGAAACAUCAUCACAGAUAUUCGAGGACUCCUCAUUGACAUCAGAGGAGUGCUGUCCUGAGGGAAUGUAUAACCUUAAAUAGUGAAUAUAAAAUUAGAAAACUACUAUUAAGUAAGGGGUUUAGAGGAAGAGUGGGUCCCAGCAAGCAGGAGCUGAGGUUUAUGAUGUUAAAAUCAUAAAGAAUGGACACUUACUCUUGUUCAAGAUGCAGGCCUUGGCUCUAGAGACUCUUGUAUAAACCCCAUCAUGACUGUACCAAACCUCUACGAUUUUAUUCAAAAGCAAACCCCACUCCUACCACUGUUAGGUUUGCAUCUGCUACCCAUGCUCUUUGCCAUUAUUUAGGCUUUCUAAACUUUUAUUUCUUCAUACUCUCAGUUAGGAGAGACAUCCACUGUCAUGACCUCUACAAAAAUUUAAAUGGUGAUGAGAUACACACACACACACACAAUCAGAUUUUAAAAUAAAUUUUGUAUUUAAAUUGAGAAACCAUAGUCUAUCCAAGAAUGUUCUUGAGGUUUUAUUUAAAUAGGUGUCCAAGUGUCCUGUGGGUGGAGAUAUAAAAAAAUUUCACUAUUUUGCAAUUUUUUAGUUACCCAAAUUACUGCCCAGGCUAAAGUGAGGAAGUAUAGUGCUGAGAUAGCUUUCAAGGAUGAUAGGAAGCCAUCAUUAUCCCACUUAGUAGAUACCUGCCACUGGACGUGAUGAAAGGGACCAAGGGUACAAUAAUACUCAGAUUUUUUCCUUAAUGUAGUUUCAUUUCUAGAUUUCUUUUGAGAAAGACAUGCACAGCAUUAUAACAACCAUGGGGCCACUGCUGAAAGGUGCCUCAGUCCUGUGGGGGAGGAUGGGGAAGUAUGGUGAAUUGGACCUGCUUUUUCAUGUAAGAAGUGUUUGAGUUUGCUUUAAAAAUUAAACACAAUUGAGGCCAGCCUGGUGACAUAGUAGUUAAGUUCAUGCACUCCUCUUUGGCAGCCUGGGGUUCACAAGUUCAGAUCUCAGGCACAGACCUAGCACUGCUUGUCAAGCCAUACUAUAGUGGCAUCCCACAUAAAGUAGAGGAAGAUUGGCACAGAUAUUAGCUCAGUGACAACCUUUCUCAAGCCAAAAGAGGAAGAUUGGCAACAGACUUUAGCUCAGGGCCACUCUUCCUUACAAACACAAACGAAAAUUAAACAAUUUAAAAAUAAAGAAAUAAAAAUAACAAUGAGACACAUGCCAUCAUUUUGUUACCAGGCAUAUUAAGUUAAUAAAUAAUAUACGGAUUUGAUUCUGCAUUUCUUGAUAACUUUGUCAAAAUGGGAGACAUGUCGGCUUCAUAUUGUCCCAUAAGAGAAAUAAUACCAGCUCAUCUGCAUUUGCAUUUGAGUGGCACGAAUUCAAAGAGGCAUUCACCUUGUAAGUCUUUAUAUAAAGGUUGUGGGAUAACACAUCCAGCAAGGUUUUCAAUUAGGAUUUUGCCAAGGACACAUCUAUGUUGUUCAAAAUGGAGUUUUAGGUGUCUGUUAUCUGUAAAAGUUGGGGAAUGACAUUCCAGCAUCACUCAGGGAAGGCAAUUCAGCAGGGAAAUGAGGUGAUCCAGGAAUAUUCCUUCCUAAUGGUCUUUCUCAAUGCAGGAGUUAAGUUUAGAGAAUCUAGGACAAUGCCUGGUUAAAAUGCACAUUACGUUAUUUCUCUGAUAUAUCAGUUGCUUAAAGUGAUCCAUUUACCAAUGCUCAGAGUUGACUUUUGGUAUUCAUCUUGUGAGAACCUGGACUAGAGUUAUUGUCAAAUGAAUAUGAUUUAUUGGUUGAAAUGGGACUCACGUGUUUGAGGGACAUCUGCCUCUGUGACGUUCCUCUCUCUUGGUUUGUCACCACCCCUGUAGCUAUUCAAUCUUGAUUUUCCUUCUGCCCAUGAUUUAAGUGUUGGUACUUUUCACUGUUUUAUUCUCACUAUGAGAACUUUUCCUGCAACAGCAUAUUCACUCUCUUCAACCACCAUUUGUAUAGUGAUGACGUCUCAAGCUACAUUUCCAGUUGGGAUAUCUCUCCUGGGAUCCAG